Long non-coding RNA from Xyrauchen texanus (razorback sucker), 425 nucleotides. RefSeq lists it as uncharacterized. NCBI's taxonomy places the organism in Eukaryota, Metazoa, Chordata, Actinopteri, Cypriniformes, Catostomidae. The transcript has 3 exons. The record is from RefSeq and is a predicted model, not a curated record.
CACACAUCGACAUACACACAAAGACCUGGACUCCGAGAAACUAUAUCACAUCCUCAGCAUUCAUGUUGGAGCUGCGAUUCUGGCGAAUGUAUUAAAACCGAUGAAAGGUUGAUGAGUAAACAAAGGGCUUGGACACACUCACAGUGAGUGGUUCUCAUUCUGCGGCUGUGUGUUGAGGCACGCCGCCACCUAUUGACGUGGCCUGUAAAAACAGAUGUACUGAAUGCUUGGACGGUGGUAAGAAGAUGAAAUUGAAGAUUCCCACUGUAAAUUCCACAAAGAUGCCACACCCAAGAAAUGGAUACGUACCUGAUGCAACAGUUAUGGACCCAUUAUUUGUUGCAAACCUAUACAAAAAUGUGUGUUUGGCAAAGAUGUUUAAUGUGUAAACACAUACCUUUACACUGUUACUGCUUCCCCAUCCU